Molecule: long non-coding RNA, 253 nt
Filed under: Elaeis guineensis (African oil palm)
Lineage: Eukaryota; Viridiplantae; Streptophyta; Magnoliopsida; Arecales; Arecaceae
Description: long non-coding RNA (EGUI_LNC005745)
Source: RNAcentral
AUAUGGAAUGCUGACAAUCUACGAAUGUAUUAUCAGUAAAGUUGUCUUUAUGAUAUAAUAUAUUCAAAAUGACAUCUUCGGUUUCCAACAGACUUUAGCUGAAUAUUUAGCUAUCUAUAAAUAUGAUAUUUGAUCGAUGACCUAUGGGUUAAUUUACAUACUGAUCCGACUCUUGUCGAUCGAAGGAUAUUCUAUUGAUUUUCGUAUAUCAAAUAUUCAUAAAGGUAAUCGGUUAGUAUGCAAUUACAAAUCG